GACGAACGCUGGCGGCGUGCUUAACACAUGCAAGUCGAACGGAAAGGCCCUGCUUUUGUGGGGUGCUCGAGUGGCGAACGGGUGAGUAACACGUGAGUCACCUGCCCUUGACUUUGGGAUAACUUCAGGAAACUGGUGCUAAUACCGGAUAGGAGCUCCUGCUGCAUGGUGGGGGUUGGAAAGUUUCGGCGGUUGGGGAUGGACUCGCGGCUUAUCAGCUUGUUGGUGGGGUAGUGGCUUACCAAGGCUUUGACGGGUAGCCGGCCUGAGAGGGUGACCGGCCACAUUGGGACUGAGAUACGGCCCAGACUCCUACGGGAGGCAGCAGUGGGGAAUAUUGCACAAUGGGCGGAAGCCUGAUGCAGCAACGCCGCGUGCGGGAUGAAGGCCUUCGGGUUGUAAACCGCUUUCGCCUGUGACGAAGCGUGAGUGACGGUAAUGGGUAAAGAAGCACCGGCUAACUACGUG
RNAcentral lists this ribosomal RNA (468 nucleotides) under uncultured bacterium. RNAcentral describes it as "partial 16S ribosomal RNA". It matches the Rfam family "Bacterial small subunit ribosomal RNA", at positions 28 to 507 of the family's 1533-position model. The record is from RNAcentral.